AAAGAUUAAGCCAUGCAUGUCUAAGUAUAAGCAAUUAUACGGCGAAACUGCGAAUGGCUCAUUAUAUAAGUUAUCGUUUAUUUGAUAGUACCUUACUACUUGGAUAACCGUGGUAAUUCUAGAGCUAAUACAUGCCAAAAAUCCCGACUCACGGAGGGAUGUAUUUAUUAGAUUAAAAACCAAUGCCCUUCGGGGCUUACUGGUGAUUCAUGAUAACUUCGCGAAUCGCAUGGCCUUGCGCCGGCGAUGGUUCAUUCAAAUUUCUUCCCUAUCAACUUUCGAUGUUUGGGUAUUGGCCAAACAUGGUUGCAACGGGUAACGGAGGGUUAGGGCUCGACCCCGGAGAAGGAGCCUGAGAAACGGCUACUACAUCCAAGGAAGGCAGCAGGCGCGCAAAUUACCCAAUCCCGACUCGGGGAGGUAGUGACAAUAAAUACUGAUACAGGGCUCUUUAGGGUCUUGUAAUUGGAAUGAGUACAAUUUAAAUCCCUUAACGAGGAACAAUUGGAGGGCAAGUCUGGUGCCAGCAGCCGCGGUAAUUCCAGCUCCAAUAGCGUAUAUUAAAGUUGUUGUGGUUAAAAAGCUCGUAGUUGAACCUUGGGCCUGGCUGGCCGGUCCGCCUCACCGCGUGCGCUGGUCCGGCCGGGCCUUUCCCUCUGUGGAACCCCAUGCCCUUCACUGGGUGUGGCGGGGAAACAGGACUUUUACUUUGAAAAAAUUAGAGUGCUCCAGGCAGGCCUAUGCUCGAAUACAUUAGCAUGGAAUAAUAAAAUAGGACGUGCGGUUCUAUUUUGUUGGUUUCUAGGACCGCCGUAAUGAUUAAUAGGGACAGUCGGGGGUAUCAGUAUUCAAUUGUCAGAGGUGAAAUUCUUGGAUUUAUUGAAGACUAACUACUGCGAAGCAUUUAUCAAGGAUGUUUUCAUUAAUCAGGAACGAAAGUUAGGGAUCGAGACGAUCAGAUACCGUCGAUUUAUUGAAGACUACUACUGCGAAGGCAUUAUCAAGGAUGUUUUCAUUAAUCAGGAACGAAAGUUAGGGGAUCGAGACGAUCAGAUACCGUCGUAGUCUUAACCGUAAACGAUGCCGACUAGGGAUCGGACGGUGUUAUUUUUUGACCCGUCCGGCACCUUACGAGAAAUCAAAGUGCUUGGGCUCCAGGGGGAGUAUGGUCGCAAGGCUGAAACUUAAAAGAAUUGACGGAAGGGCACCACCAGGGGUGGAGCCUGCGGCUUAAUUUGACUCAACACGGGGAAACUCACCAGGUCCAGACACAAUGAGGAUUGACAGAUUGAGAGCUCUUUCUUGAUUUUGUGGGUGGUGGUGCAUGGCCGUUCUUAGUUCGUAGGGUGACCCGGCUGUUUAAUUACGAUAACGAACGAGACCUUAACCUGCUAACUAGCCCGUAUUGCUUUGGCAGUACGCUGGCUUCUUAGAGGGACUUUCGGCGCGAGUCGAAGGAAGUUUGAGGCAAUAACAGGUCUGUGAUGCCCUUAGAUGUUCUGGGCCGCACGCGCGCUACACUGACGGAGCCAGCGAGUUCUUCCUUGUCCGAAAGGUCUGGGUAAUCUUGUUAAACUCCGUCGUGCUGGGGAUAGAGCAUUGCAAUUAUUGCUCUUCAACGAGGAAUCCCUAGUAAGCGCAAGUCAUCAGCUUGCGUUGAUUACGUCCCUGCCCUUUGUACACACCGCCCGUCGCUACUACCGAUUGAAUGGCUCAGUGAGGCGUUGGGACUGGCCCAGAGAGGUGGGCAACUACCACUCAGGGCCGGAAACUUCUCCGAACUCGGUCAUUUAGAGGAAGUAAAAGUCGUAACAAGGUCUCCGUUGGUGAACCAGCGGAGGGAUCAUUACUGAGUGUAAAAACUCCCAAACCACUGUGAACAUACCAUGUUGCUUCGGCGGUUCCCGUCCUGUCCUGCCUCACCGCGAGCCAGGCCGGGCCGCCGCCGGAGGACCCAAACUCUUGUCCUUAUAGUGACUUUCUGAGUGGCAUAAGCAAAAUAAAUCAAAACUUUCAGCAACGGAUCUCUUGGUUCUGGCAUCGAUGAAGAACGCAGCAAAAUGCGAUAAGUAAUGUGAAUUGCAGAAUUCAGUGAAUCAUCGAAUCUUUGAACGCACAUUGCGCCCGCCAGUACUCUGGCGGGCAUGCCUGUCUGAGCGUCAUUUCAACCCUCGGGACCCCGUUCGCGGGACCCGGCGCUGGGGAUCAGCUUGUAAAAGAGCUGGCCCUGAAAUCUAGUGGCGGUCCGCCAGCGAUCUCCUCUGUGCAGUAGUUAAUACCUCGCAGCUGGAUAGCGGUCGGGCCACGCCGUAAAACCCCCACUUUCUCAAGGUUGACCUCAGAUCAGGUAGGAAUACCCGCUGAACUUAA
This 2370-nucleotide ribosomal RNA is filed under the name uncultured Dikarya. Its description in RNAcentral is "eukaryotic LSU rRNA". The stretch from base 1 to 1849 matches the Rfam family "Eukaryotic small subunit ribosomal RNA". Lineage: Eukaryota; Fungi. The record is from RNAcentral.